This is a long non-coding RNA of Zea mays, 902 nucleotides long. RefSeq lists it as uncharacterized. The record is from RefSeq and is a predicted model, not a curated record. The transcript has 4 exons. NCBI's taxonomy places the organism in Eukaryota, Viridiplantae, Streptophyta, Magnoliopsida, Poales, Poaceae.
UAUGGAGACAUUGCGUUUGGUUUUGAAUCUUUGCAAUGGGGUCUCCAUGUACACUUGAAAGCCCCCGCCGCCGUCGUUUCUUGGAGCUAUUUGUGUUGGCGCUAAGGUGUAUGGUCGCAAGAAUUGGAUCUUUCAACAAGCAAAACAUACAACAACAUAACAACCUUGAAGCUCAAGGCAGCCUUGGAAUUGAAGACCAAAAUCUACAGUCUUUUGAGUCACCACCGAAAAGGGCUAGGCGCAAAUCUUUAAAAUUUGAUUGCGAUGAGGAUGCAUCCGAUAAGGAUAAAUGUAUGACUAUUUCAUUCACUUCCUGCAUUGUAUGUAAAGGCUAUUUCCCCCCACUGUGCAACUGCCCUCAAGACACACAUGCUAAUUACUGUUGCUCAAAGUUAAACAAACAAUGCCAAACAUCUAAUGACAAUAGCUUUUCUUACAGUCAAAUAAGUUAAUUUAAAAUUUGGAGAAUCAAAUACUAACUUACCAAAAUUACAACUGCAAUGGAAAAUGACUUACAAAGAUUUACCAUAUAAAUCACUUUUAUACCAUUAUGCUUUAUGACUACUAAUUUGUAGAUACCAGAUUUUUUGCACAUGGUACUUAAGUAUCAAAACUACAAAAGGUUCUAUACAACCCAUUCUGUAUGAACUGACCAAGAUUUUCCUUGCCAUGACGGAUGUGUGGUACAUGGGAAAAAAUGAUAGGAUUCAACAUCCAUCUGAUACGCAAAAAACCUGUAAUGGCUAUAAUGCAGCCUGACUGCUAUUCCUAAUCUUGGUCACUGUAUGUACCAUCUUUUGUCUACCAACGACGUUUAUGUCUUAUUUGGAAAACAAUAUCCAAAUGUCUUUUGUCUAUGCAUCAUAAUAUAUAUGUAGACCUAAUGAUAUUAAAGGCACUGU